AGUGAACGCUGGCGGUCGGCCUAACACAUGCAAGUCGAACGGCAGCACAGUAAGAGCUUGCUCUUACGGGUGGCGAGUGGCGGACGGGUGAGGAAUACAUCGGAAUCUACUUUUUCGUGGGGGAUAACGUAGGGAAACUUACGCUAAUACCGCAUACGACCUACGGGUGAAAGCAGGGGAUCUUCGGACCUUGCGCGAUUGAAUGAGCCGAUGUCGGAUUAGCUAGUUGGCGGGGUAAGGGCCCACCAAGGCGACGAUCCGUAGCUGGUCUGAGAGGAUGAUCAGCCACACUGGAACUGAGACACGGUCCAGACUCCUACGGGAGGCAGCAGUGGGGAAUAUUGGACAAUGGGCGCAAGCCUGAUCCAGCCAUACCGCGUGGGUGAAGAAGGCCUUCGGGUUGUAAAGCCCUUUUGUUGGGAAAGAAAAGCAGCAGGUUAAUACCCCGCUGUUCUGACGGUACCCAAAGAAUAAGCACCGGCUAACUUCGUG
RNAcentral lists this ribosomal RNA (492 nucleotides) under uncultured bacterium. Its description in RNAcentral is "partial 16S ribosomal RNA". It matches the Rfam family "Bacterial small subunit ribosomal RNA", at positions 29 to 507 of the family's 1533-position model. The record is from RNAcentral.